UAGUGCAUGACCGGCAUGACCCGUCAUGGCCGUCAUGUCCUCUGUCACUUUUGUCAGGUUUCUCUCUGUUGGAAAUAUCGAGGAAUUGUGUUUAUUAGUUAAAUAGUUAUAACUAAACAAGAUCUAUAAACGAAUAAUUGUUAAAUUGUUCAAAGGAUUUGAUUAGAAAAUUCUGAGAUUUGUUUGAAAGUAAUCGGAUCGUACCUCAUUUAAUUUGUGGCUCUACUAUUUGAAUACUUUCGUCAUAUAUUGUAAUAGAUGUAUGAUAUGCUGUAGAGCAGAGGAGAAACGUGCAAGUAUUAACGAGUACUUAAAUUAGGAUAAAUCUGUUUUAAAAAGGGAAUAAAAAAUACAAUCUCCUAAUAUGAGAAAAUCAUUUAUGCGACCAAGCAGUACCUACUACGCCAUAAUACCAUUAAUUAUAGGAUUUCAUAUAGGUUGGUUCGCCUUGCAACAGCGUUAUGUUCCAGUAUCCGAAAGACACGAUCAUCCACUGGUCAAAUUGUAUAAGAAAUAUACUACGUAAUAAUGCAAUCCACCAAUUUUCCAGUUUGCCGGUCCCUACACUGGAAGACGACACCAUAGCUACCCUCGCCGAGACGCGCCAGACGCUCAUAACGCUCCAUGGCUUUGCUCGGUGCCCGAGACCUGUGCAAAAUCAUUUUUCUCGAUAGAUAACAGCGGAAA
This is a long non-coding RNA of Wasmannia auropunctata (little fire ant), 687 nucleotides long. RefSeq lists it as uncharacterized. The record is from RefSeq and is a predicted model, not a curated record. Lineage: Eukaryota; Metazoa; Arthropoda; Insecta; Hymenoptera; Formicidae. The transcript has 4 exons.